AGGGAAUCUUCGGCAAUGGACGGAAGUCUGACCGAGCAACGCCGCGUGAGUGAAGAAGGUUUUCGGAUCGUAAAGCUCUGUUGUAAGAGAAGAACGAGUGUGAGAGUGGAAAGUUCACACUGUGACGGUAUCUUACCAGAAAGGGACGGCUAACUACGUGCCAGCAGCCGCGGUAAUACGUAGGUCCCGAGCGUUAUCCGGAUUUAUUGGGCGUAAAGCGAGCGCAGGCGGUUAGAUAAGUCUGAAGUUAAAGGCUGUGGCUUAACCAUAGUACGCUUUGGAAACUGUUUAACUUGAGUGCAGAAGGGGAGAGUGGAAUUCCAUGUGUAGCGGUGAAAUGCGUAGAUAUAUGGAGGAACACCGGUGGCGAAAGCGGCUCUCUGGUCUGUAACUGACGCUGAGGCUCGAAAGCGUGGGGAGCAAACAGGAUUAGAUACCUUGGUAGUCCACGCCGUAAACGAUGAGUGCUAGGUGUUGGGUCCUUUCCGGGACUCAGUGCCGUAGCUAACGCAUUAAGCACUCCGCCUGGGGAGUACGACCGCAAGGUUG
Molecule: ribosomal RNA, 549 nt
Filed under: uncultured bacterium
Lineage: Bacteria
Description: bacterial SSU rRNA
Rfam family: Bacterial small subunit ribosomal RNA
Source: RNAcentral